AGGUUCCCUGCUGUCUUAUGGCUGUCCUUGAACCAAUUAUGGGGAGCCUAAAGAUUCUUGGAAUAACAGUUUGAAAACCACAAGUGGAGUCCUAUUCUUUGGGUUUAUGAACAAGGAAUCUGUGACCCAAGCCAGUGUUAAGUGAACUGGUUCCCUGGAUUAAGGAUUGCACCUGGCCAGUCUAAGAACAUGAUAAUUUCAAGGAACAAUAUUAUGUGAUUUCUAUCUACAGUGCCUUGAAGCAAAAGAAUUAAAGUCAUGAACUCUUG
RNAcentral lists this long non-coding RNA (269 nucleotides) under Mustela putorius furo (domestic ferret). Its description in RNAcentral is "lncRNA (ENSMPUG00000025812.1)". The record is from RNAcentral. Lineage: Eukaryota; Metazoa; Chordata; Mammalia; Carnivora; Mustelidae.